This 412-nucleotide ribosomal RNA is filed under the name uncultured bacterium. Its description in RNAcentral is "bacterial SSU rRNA". It matches the Rfam family "Bacterial small subunit ribosomal RNA", at positions 355 to 794 of the family's 1533-position model. The record is from RNAcentral.
UAGGGAAUAUUGGACAAUGGGGGCAACCCUGAUCCAGCCAUGCCGCGUGAGUGAUGAAGGCCUUAGGGUUGUAAAGCUCUUUCGGCGGGGAAGCGGUACCCGCAUAAGAAGCCCCGGCUAACUUCGUGCCAGCAGCCGCGGUAAUACGAAGGGGGCUAGCGUUGCUCGGAAUCACUGGGCGUAAAGCGCACGUAGGCGGACUCUUAAGUCAGGGGUGAAAUCCUGGAGCUCAACUCCAGAACUGCCUUUGAUACUGGGAGCCUUGAGUUCGGGAGAGGUGAGUGGAACUGCGAGUGUAGAGGUGAAAUUCGUAGAUAUUCGCAAGAACACCAGUGCGAAGCGGCUCACUGGCCCGAACUGACGCUGAGGUGCGAAAGCGUGGGGAGCAAACAGGAUUAGAUACCCCAGUAGU